Molecule: non-coding RNA, 561 nt
Organism: Cinara cedri
Lineage: Eukaryota; Metazoa; Arthropoda; Insecta; Hemiptera; Aphididae
Source: the annotation of a GenBank genome assembly
UAUAGGGAUGAAAUUAUGUGGUUAAAAAGUAAGAGAAUAUACAAAUUGAAAAAAGAAAAAAAAUUAUGGCUUUUUGGUAAUGAGGAAAUAAAAAUGGGAAAAUGACAUAGUCCACAAAAAAGUGUUAAAUUUUUCUCCUUUUUAUUUUCUCUUCUCCCAUAAGUCAAAGUUCAAUAUUAUAAUAGAACAGGAUCAAUCAUAAAGAAGAAAGAAAAUUCAAUAUGUAAAUGAUACAUGUAAAUAUUAUAUUAACUGUUGUAUUCAUUAUUCUAAGGAAAUCAUUUAUUUUAUGUAUUGUAAUUAAAGGGUAUUCUAUGAUGAAGAUCCAAUUAAAAUAAUAAACUUUAUAUUAUUUACUUUAUGUAAAUGUAAUUGUGUUUUAAUACAUAAUAUAAAUUUUAAUAUUGUAUUCAAUAAAAAAAACCUGAACGUAGAUAUUUGACAUGAAAGAAAGAUAAUACACAUACAGAAAAAAGAAACAAAAAAUAUGGCUUUUUGGUAAUGAGGAAAUAAAAAUGGGAAAAUGACAAAAGUCCACAGUAAUGUGUUAAGUUUUCUCCU